AGAUUGAACGCUGGCGGCAGGCCUAACACAUGCAAGUCGAGCGGUAGAGAGGUGCUUGCACCUCUUGAGAGCGGCGGACGGGUGAGUAAUGCCUAGGAAUCUGCCUAGUGGUGGGGGAUAACGUUCGGAAACGGACGCUAAUACCGCAUACGUCCUACGGGAGAAAGCGGGGACCUUCGGGCCUCGCGCCAUUAGAUGAGCCUAGGUCGGAUUAGCUAGUUGGUGAGGUAAUGGCUCACCAAGGCGACGAUCCGUAACUGGUCUGAGAGGAUGAUCAGUCACACUGGAACUGAGACACGGUCCAGACUCCGUACGGGAGGCAGCAGUGGGAAUAUGGACAAUGGGCGAAAGGCCUAGAUCCAGCCAUCGCCGCGUGUGUGAAGAAGGUCUUCGGAUUAG
This 399-nucleotide ribosomal RNA is filed under the name uncultured soil bacterium. RNAcentral's name for it is "bacterial SSU rRNA". It matches the Rfam family "Bacterial small subunit ribosomal RNA", at positions 26 to 426 of the family's 1533-position model. The record is from RNAcentral.